AAGUGUGUGAUACAUACCCUUGUUGGAU
RNAcentral lists this small RNA (28 nucleotides) under Bombyx mori (domestic silkworm). Its description in RNAcentral is "piRNA piR-bmo-2080838". Lineage: Eukaryota; Metazoa; Arthropoda; Insecta; Lepidoptera; Bombycidae. The record is from RNAcentral.